GACGAACGCUGGCGGCGUGCUUAACACAUGCAAGUCACGGGGGCCCGCAAGGGCAACCGGCGAACGGGUGCGUAACACGUGAGCAACCUGCCGAGUUGAGGGGGAUAGCCGGCCCAACGGCCGGGUAAUACCGCAUACGCUCAGUUUGGGGAAUCCCGAGCUGAGGAAACCUCCGGGGCAAUUCGAGGGGCUCGCGGCCUAUCAGCUAGUUGGCGGGGUAACGGCCCACCAAGGCGACGACGGGUAGCUGGUCUGAGAGGAUGGCCAGCCACAUUGGGACUGAGAGACGGCCCAGACUCCUACGGGAGGCAGCAGUGGGAAUCUUGCGCAAUGGGCGAAAGCCUGACGCAGCGACGCCGCGUGGGGGAUGAAGGGCUUCGGCUCGUAAACCCCUGUUGCCCGGGACGAACUUCUGGUUUCGACCAGAUUGACGGUACCGGGUGAGGAAGCACCGGCUAACUCCGUGCCAGCAGCCGCGGUAAUACGGAGGGUGCGAGCGUUGUCCGGAAUCACUGGGCGUAAAGGGCGCGUAGGUGGCUCGAAAAGCGUGCGGUGAAAGUUCGGGCUCAACCCCGAAUCGGCCGUGCGAACUGUCGAGCUGGAGCACUGUAGAGGCAGAUGGAAUUCCGGGUGUAGCGGUGGAAUGCGUAGAGAUCCGGAAGAACACCGGUGGCGAAGGCGGUCUGCUGGGCAGUUGCUGACACUGAGGCGCGACAGCGU
RNAcentral lists this ribosomal RNA (720 nucleotides) under uncultured bacterium. RNAcentral describes it as "bacterial SSU rRNA". It matches the Rfam family "Bacterial small subunit ribosomal RNA", at positions 28 to 762 of the family's 1533-position model. The record is from RNAcentral.